AGUGAACGCUGGCGGUAUGCCUAACACAUGCAAGUCGACCGGCAGCACAGUAAGAGCUUGCUCUUACGGGUGGCGAGUGGCUGACUGGUGAGGAAUACAUCUGCCUCUACUUUUUCGUUGGGUAUAACGUAGGGAAACUUACGCUAAUACCUCAUACGACCUACGGUUGAAAGCAUGGUAUCUUCGGACCUUGCUCGAUUUAAUGCUCCGAUGUCGGAUUGGCUAGUUGGCGGGGUAACGGCCCACCAAGGCGACGAUCCGUAGCUGGUCUGAGAGGAUGAGAAGCCAAACUGGAAAUGAGAAACGGUGAAGACGCCUACGGGAGGCAGCAGGGGGGAAGAUUGGACAAUGGGCGAAAGCCUGAACCAGCCAUACCGCGUGGGUGAAGAAGGCAUUCGGGUUGUAAAGCCCUUUUGUUGGGAAAGAAAAGAAGAAGGUUAAUACCCCGCUGUUCUGACGGUACCCAAAGAAUAAGCACCGGCUAACUACGUG
This 492-nucleotide ribosomal RNA is filed under the name uncultured bacterium. Its description in RNAcentral is "partial 16S ribosomal RNA". It matches the Rfam family "Bacterial small subunit ribosomal RNA", at positions 29 to 507 of the family's 1533-position model. The record is from RNAcentral.